This is a long non-coding RNA of Saccostrea cuccullata (small rock oyster), 723 nucleotides long. RefSeq lists it as uncharacterized. The record is from RefSeq and is a predicted model, not a curated record. The transcript is spliced from 4 exons. NCBI's taxonomy places the organism in Eukaryota, Metazoa, Mollusca, Bivalvia, Ostreida, Ostreidae.
CUAUGCCCUUCCUAAAUAGGGCCUGAGGAGAUUCUGAUGCACAACCCUUUUCUUCUCUGAAGGACCUCGAGAAAUUUCAUCGGACUCAAACCGAGUACCUUGGUCCGUAUGUACUUGCCGGGGGACACCAAACCUACAGACAAAUUGAAAAACAAAGGCCAAUAAAACCUCUGACGGACUCGAUGCAAAGUUCGGAGCACUCCAAAGUGACCGACUGAAGGGGCUGCAUGCAAUAUGUCGAAGACUUCCUGUCAAAAACAAGAGGUACUGACACUCUCCACAGGGACGUCUUGACAGACCAUCAACAUUUCCAUGGGACUUUCCGGGACGAGGUAAAUAUGGUAAAAUUGUAAACUGAAAGAACUUCCAUCGAACGUGCCAUUUGACCCUCAGGAUUUUUGAAAUGCAUCAACCAGUUGAGGGCACCAUGAUCAGUCCUGAUUGUAAAAUCGCUACCAUAAAGAUAAUGAUGAAAGUGCUUCACACUCUCAACCACUGCCAGGAGCUCUCUUCGAGUAACACAGUAACUGCGCUCAGGUCUGGAAAGUGAUUUACUAAAGUAGGCAAUCACCUGUUCUUUGCCAUCUUUAAUUUGGGAAAGGACGCCACCUAGGCAAAAAGCACUCGCAUCGGUAUCUAAAACAAAAUCUAAAUUCAUAUCAGGAUAACCCAGUACAGGUGUACUUGUGAGACAGUCUUUAAGUGUCUGAAAUGAAAUUUGAC